RNAcentral lists this transfer RNA (74 nucleotides) under Nitrososphaerota archaeon. Its description in RNAcentral is "Thaumarchaeota archaeon tRNA-Pro". It matches the Rfam family "tRNA". From Rfam's summary of the family: Transfer RNA (tRNA) molecules are approximately 80 nucleotides in length. Their secondary structure includes four short double-helical elements and three loops (D, anti-codon, and T loops). Further hydrogen bonds mediate the characteristic L-shaped molecular structure. tRNAs have two regions of fundamental functional importance: the anti-codon, which is responsible for specific mRNA codon recognition, and the 3' end, to which the tRNAs corresponding amino acid is attached (by aminoacyl-tRNA synthetases). tRNAs cope with the degeneracy of the genetic code in two manners: having more than one tRNA (with a specific anti-codon) for a particular amino acid; and 'wobble' base-pairing, i.e. permitting non-standard base-pairing at the 3rd anti-codon position. Lineage: Archaea; Thermoproteati; Nitrososphaerota. The record is from RNAcentral.
GGGGUCGUGGUCUAGCAUGGUAUGAUGCCAGCCCGGGGCGCUGGUGAUCCGGGGUUCAAGUCCCCGCGACCCCA